GAUGAACGCUGGCGGCGUGCCUAAUACAUGCAAGUCGAGCGGACAGACGAGGAGCUUGCUCCUCUGACGUUAGCGGCGGACGGGUGAGUAACACGUGGAUAACCUACCUAUAGGACUGGGAUAACUUCGGGAAACCGGAGCUAAUACCGGAUAAUAUAUUGAACCGCAUGGUUCAAUAGUGAAAGACGGUUUUGCUGUCACUUAUAGAUGGAUCCGCGCCGCAUUAGCUAGUUGGUAAGGUAACGGCUUACCAAGGCAACGAUGCGUAGCCGACCUGAGAGGGUGAUCGGCCACACUGGAACUGAGACACGGUCCAGACUCCUACGGGAGGCAGCAGUAGGGAAUCUUCCGCAAUGGGCGAAAGCCUGACGGAGCAACGCCGCGUGAGUGAUGAAGGUCUUCGGAUCGUAAAACUCUGUUAUUAGGGAAGAACAAAUGUGUAAGUAACUAUGCACGUCUUGACGGUACCUAAUCAGAAAGCCACGGCUAACUACGUG
This 497-nucleotide ribosomal RNA is filed under the name uncultured bacterium. Its description in RNAcentral is "partial 16S ribosomal RNA". It matches the Rfam family "Bacterial small subunit ribosomal RNA", at positions 28 to 507 of the family's 1533-position model. The record is from RNAcentral.